RNAcentral lists this ribosomal RNA (252 nucleotides) under uncultured prokaryote. RNAcentral describes it as "partial 16S rRNA". It matches the Rfam family "Bacterial small subunit ribosomal RNA", at positions 525 to 775 of the family's 1533-position model. The record is from RNAcentral.
UCAGAGGUGGCGAGCGUUGUUCGGAUUGAUUGGGUGUAAAGGGUGCGUAGGCGGUUUGGAAAGUCGGGUGUGAAAUCCUAUGGCUUAACCAUAGAACUGCAUUCGAAACUUCCUAACUAGAGUGCGAGAGAGGUGAAGGGAAUUCCCGGUGUAAGGGUGAAAUCUGUAGAGAUCGGGAGGAACACCAGUAGCGAAGGCGCUUCACUGGCUCGUAACUGACGCUGAGUGCACGAAAGCGUGGGGAGCAAACGG